UAGAGUUUGAUCCUGGCUCAGGACGAACGCUGGCGGCGUGCUUAACACAUGCAAGUCGAGCGGAAAGGCCCUUCGGGGUACUCGAGCGGCGAACGGGUGAGUAAUGCAUCGGAACAUGUCCAUGUCGUGGGGGAUAGCCCGGCGAAAGCCGGAUUAAUACCGCAUAAGCCCUUUGGGUGAAAGUGGGGGACUCGCAAGAGCCUCACGCGAUUGGAUGAGCCGAUGUCCGAUUAGCUAGUUGGCGGGGUAAUGGCCCACCAAGGCGACGAUCGGUAGCUGGUCUGAGAGGACGACCAGCCACACUGGAACUGAGACACGGCCCAGACUCCUACGGGAGGCAGCAGUGGGGAAUUUUGGACAAUGGACGCAAGUCUGAUCCAGCCAUGCCGCGUGCGGGAAGAAGGCCUUCGGGUUGUAAACCGCUUUUGUCAGGGAAGAAAAGUCUCGGGUUAAUACCUUGGGACGAUGACGGUACCUGAAGAAUAAGCACCGGCUAACUACGUGCCAGCAGCCGCGGUAGCCCAAUCGC
RNAcentral lists this ribosomal RNA (529 nucleotides) under uncultured bacterium. RNAcentral's name for it is "bacterial SSU rRNA". It matches the Rfam family "Bacterial small subunit ribosomal RNA", at positions 1 to 532 of the family's 1533-position model. The record is from RNAcentral.